This 534-nucleotide ribosomal RNA is filed under the name uncultured Alphaproteobacteria bacterium. Its description in RNAcentral is "bacterial SSU rRNA". It matches the Rfam family "Bacterial small subunit ribosomal RNA", at positions 33 to 612 of the family's 1533-position model. The record is from RNAcentral. Lineage: Bacteria; Pseudomonadati; Pseudomonadota; Alphaproteobacteria.
ACGCUGGCGGCACGCCUAACACAUGCAAGUCGAACGAAGUAGCAAUACUUAGUGGCAGACGGGUGAGUAACAUGUGGGUAUCUGCCCUUUGGCCUGGAAUAACACGAGGAAACUUGUGCUAAUACCGGAUAAGUCUUUACGGAGAAAGCUUUAUGCACCAUUGGAUGAGCCCGCACUUGAUUAGUUUGUUGGUGGGGUAAUGGCCUACCAAGACUGUGAUCAAUAGCUGAUUUGAGAGGAUGAUCAGCCACAUUGGGACUGAGACACGGCCCAAACUCCUACGGGAGGCAGCAGUGGGGAAUCUUGCACAAUGGAGGAAACUCUGAUGCAGCGAUGCCGCGUGAGUGAAGAAGGCCCUUGGGUUGUAAAGCUCUUUCGUCGGGGAAGAAAAUGACUGUACCCGAAUAAGAAGGUCCGGCUAACUUCGUGCCAGCAGCCGCGGUAAUACGAAGGGACCUAGCGUAGUUCGGAAUUACUGGGCUUAAAGAGUUCGUAGGUGGUUGAAAAAGUUAGUGGUGAAAUCCCAGAGCUUAA